Drosophila obscura is the source of this 618-nucleotide long non-coding RNA. RefSeq lists it as uncharacterized. The record is from RefSeq and is a predicted model, not a curated record. NCBI's taxonomy places the organism in Eukaryota, Metazoa, Arthropoda, Insecta, Diptera, Drosophilidae. The transcript has 3 exons.
AGUAAUACAGUAUUUUGGAUUGAUAUGAUCCCAAAAUAUUGAAAUUAAAACAAACUGAUUUGAUGUUAAAUUCUUGUGUUUCUCAGAAACCGAUAAUGGGAUUACCUAUAGCUGACAUUUUAAUCGCAGAGAUCAAGGCAAAUUGUGAUUUAUUCGAAACAUGGGCUAUCUUAUCUAAUCGGACCUUUGAAGAUACGCUACGCCCAGUCGAGUGGGAUAAUCAUUGAUUUCCAUGACGGGGCGGAACCCAUUCUUGAAUCGAAGUUGAACCUAUUGGACAGGCGGAACUGUGCCCGUAACACCUAUGGCAUAAAUUUGAAAAGGAAUUGCCGCAUUAUAUACAAUAAGCGACGAAUUACCACAAAAAAGCUAUCCAUAGGAAAAAUAAAAAAUAAACGAUUGGCAACAGUGAAAAUCGAUUGGAGAAUAGCCCUCGUAUUUUUCUCCUUUAAAGCGAUAAAAGCGUUUAUCAAUCCCCAAAAUAUUUCCAUAAUCUAUUAAUAUUAUUUGUGAAUCAUUUGGCUAUUAUCAUUUCGUUGUUCAUCAAAAUUCUGCUUACUGUUCGACCACCAGGUGUCCUGAAAUAUUUUGCUUAUUUGCUGUUUUAAUUUAAUUAAA